This is a long non-coding RNA of Poecile atricapillus (Black-capped chickadee), 5178 nucleotides long. RefSeq lists it as uncharacterized. The transcript has 8 exons. The record is from RefSeq and is a predicted model, not a curated record. Lineage: Eukaryota; Metazoa; Chordata; Aves; Passeriformes; Paridae.
GAGAGAGAGAGGGAAAUGUCACCCGGAGCCCGGGCCCGCGGGGGAGAGGUGGCGCGUUAGAGAUGUGUGUGGGAGAGAGGGAGCGAGAGAGAGAGAGAGAGAGAGAGAGAGAGAGAGAGAGAGAGAGAGAGAGGGGGAGCGAGACCUCCGCUGGCCCCGCGAACUUGUCAAGUACAAAGCACCAAGCUUUUAGGCUCAAAGAGCUUAGACCAUCAUGGCUACAAAAACUACUGCGGCUCAGAGAGUAUGUAAUUCUGGAGCUCCUUAAGUAAAAAAGUAGUGCGAUGCAACAUCAGAACAGUGGCCAAGUGAUCUUCUCCACAGCACCCAUGAACUUCAACCUUGAACUGAAGAAGACUCAUCAAAUGCCUUAGGAAAGACAGUAUGGAGUUGGAAGAGAAGCAGGGAUCUACAUGAAGGGCAGUCAGUUAUGGUCAUGGUGUGUGGAGGAACAGGUCCUGUUCUCGCUGUUGUUACUCCCACAUAGACAGACUCUGUAAUUGAUUAUGUGUGGGUAGGGCCCUAUUGAAAUUCAGGAGAUUCUGCAGUAGUGCAGGGUUCUUUUUGUGAAAGCUCAUUUGCAAGAUCAGGACCCUACUGUGACUCCUUACUGUGCAUUCUGUCACUGUCUCAUUGAUUGUACUGGAACCUGCCUAUUGGGAUAACUACCAAAUACUAUAUUCCUCAAAACUUCUUAAUGGCACUGAGGCUUUGUGGAUAGUUGGUCACAUGAUGAGAAAAUCCAGCUGUAAUUCACCAUGGGACCCUGAAGUUCUUCCCUACUGCAAUUAGGUCUACUUUGCCUGUAGUGCUGAGCUGUUGUGAUAGUUUGAUUUUUAUGAUUUGCAUCAAGUGUGAAGCUUUCAAAGCCAUGUGUCAAAGGUAAGUUAUUUCAGUAAUACCGUUAUUUGUAUAUGUCCCUAAAAAUAUUGUAUGUUUAUGGGAGAAGUUUUCAUCACUUUAUUGAAGACUCAGCUCUGUUGAAAAAUCACAGUCCUGAGUAAAAGAUGUUAUGAAGCAGUAGAAACUCCUGCAGUGAGCUCUGAGAGAGAUUUUCUCCCAGUGUUUGCCAAUGUAGUGAGGAAGUGUGCGUACUGCACCAGCUUUUAAAAUAGUGCAACCUGAUCCUUUCUUUACAGCUCAGAGGGUGGGUGUGGGGAGUGAAGGUGAAAGAAUAGGAGUCCAUAUCCUUCUCCUCCUUAUUUUGGGUCUGGUUUUCCCUAUUGAGCAAAGAGGGCAUUAAUUGUGCAGGACUAUUAUGAGAAAGGACCCUUUGCUCCCACUCUUCACAUUUCUUGUGACAUAGGCCAGGUUUAAUCUAGUCCGUGUUAGGAGAAGCUAAGUACACUUUGCAGUGUCAUAAUGAGCUUCCCCCUCAUUUUCAUUUUCCCUCAAUGGUAUGUAAAUCAUUGCUUGUAAGAGGUAAAAAUCUGUAGGAGUUAUGAAACCAAAGUGAUUGCACUAAUGUGGAGCUCCUUCCACUUAGCCAAGAGUGUUUAUCGCUCUCCUUAAUACAAUAAAACCAAGAUGAAAUAGACUUCAAAACAAAAGAGACCAUCUAAUUUUUCUUUAUCUAACUAAUAAAAGUAAAAUUGACAAACUAAUGUAAAUUACUAACCAAAUCUUUAAAAACAGGGAUGGACAAUGUGUAAAUCAGGAAAUCGUUUUGCUCAGAGUUUCACUUGUGUGUAGGGUUUUAAAAGUUAUCCAGGUAUAAGAGUUUAUAGAUUUAACUCAGAAAGACUACUGAAAUUAAUAUUCAGUCAGUAGUUGCGACAGCCAAUCAGUACACUGUUGUACAGUGGAAUCUUUGUGAAAUUUAUUGUUUUAUAAAAAAGGAUGUUCAUGCAAAUAAAAUAUUCAGACAGAAAUGAGGAUACUAAGAGUCCCUAAAAAGCACAGUGGUCUCAACAAUCUGUUUUUCCAGCUAGUGUUGCCUAGUUUUCAGCGUAUUUAUUUUUCACUUCUUUGUGGAGUCUAAAGGCAUAUUUCUCAUCUGGUGAACUACUGCAUUCCUAGUUUCCAUUCAUCAAAGUAUUCAUUUGUACCUGUAAUCCAUGCUAAGAACACUUUUUUUGGUCUUUGCUAGGUGUAUCUUGUGUAGACAUUAUGUCCAUGUUUUGAAGUGAUGCCCUGAGUAGCUAAUAUCAUCCAUUCAUAUGUUGUAUUCAGAAUGCUAACUGUACAUGUAAAAAAUUCUAAUGAAAACUACUACAGCAAUUUAAAAUAUUCAUAAGAAUAUGUUACUUUUUUAUCAAACAUUAAUGCCAAACUUGAAAACUGUUCUAUUAGAUAUCCAUCAAUAUAGUUAGAGGGUAAGACCCAGAAUCUAAAAGUAGGUCCAAGAGAAGGAGCUGAGGAAAACAAUACUGCUUGUUUCCAGAUACUAGAAAUGAAACCUGCAUAAGGGUUUAUCCAAGAAUGUUAUCAGUUUUCAGUUAGAAGUACCAUGCCACCACUGGCUAACUGCUGGAAGGAAGAGAGAGUUUUCCUUUCUUAACCACUUUCCAUAAAACACCAGUUACUAUAAAAGGAUAGCUGGAGCUGUUCUUUCUUCCUGUGCCUCAGGCUCCAUUUUUUAGAACUUUUGUUUUCUCACCCUGUAUCUUAUCCAUUGUAAAUAACUACUGCACUUUCCUGCUGUUAGUAGUACUGUCAUAUGGCUGCAACAACAUAAAAUGGACAUUUUGGACAACAUAAGAGCUGGGUAGAGGCUUCUAAAAAGCAGUAACUGGACUUGCAGUCUUGUUAGUUAUGCAUGGCUGCUGCUUGUUAAAGUGCUACUGUGCAAAAGCUGAAACACUGGAACUGCCUGCUGGCAUAACCAGGAAGACUGUGCUGUCUGAAUCAGUGAAAUUUCCAAAUGUAAGUUAGUAACACCCUCCACAAAUGAAAAGAUGGAAAUGUGUCUAGAGUUUUAAACGAAAGCUAUAGAAAUCCAUAGCAUAGGCCUUUAUGGUGAUCAGAGAAAACUGCUUGUUAUCAUUAGGAAUUAUAGGGCUGCAUUUAAAAAAUAAAAAAGACCUGGGAUCUGAUAUACAGAAUAAGACUACAAGAAGAAUAAAAGAUAUUAAAAAGUAUUAGACAUCAAACAGUACAGACAGACUGGUCACAUAUACAGUAAUACAGCAGUAGUCAACUGAUAAUCUUUUUCAAGUGUGAAAAAAGGAAAGGAAGGGUCAUUCAGCUAAUCACGUGCUAAAUUACUUCUUUAUGUACUUCAAACAUCAAAAGAAAAGCAGAGUUAGAUAAAUUAACAACAAACAAGCCUUAUUUUUAUAAACACAAAAAUUUAUGAUCUUGCAGACUUAAAAAGCCUUCAUACUGUAACAUAAAACUGAAUAAAAACUACAUACUCUACAUGCUAAAAUGCAAGUUUCAACACUGGUGAGUUAAUACAAAUUCACUCUUCUUUGAACUCUACUAGCCCAACUCUAAUCUCCAAUGGGUUUUGAAAGUUAAACCGGAAAGGACUAUCAGUGUGAGGAGGUAUGUUUGUGUGUGUGCAUAUACACACAGACACAUACACCUUGUUCCCUGAUUGAUAGAUUUAAGAUAUACAUAUCUUAAAAGAGAAAGUAGGUUGAUAUCUAAUACUUUUAUGUGUGGGAUAUUGAAUUGACAUUUGUUUAUUAUCUCUGGGAGUGUGACAGAUCUGUGGAACUACUAAUGCAAAUUCAAGGCCAGAAUUUAAGGGCAAAGUGGGUUGGGGUACACAGAAACUCAGCUCAUGUUGAUGGGAGUUGGCUCCAGUUUCUGUGCCUUAGUCAUGAAGCCAUGUCCCUACCCAAACUGCUUUUCCUAUCCACCUAAUACAUCUAGCCACCUUUGGUUUUCAGAGAACAGGCAGUGUUGGAGCUUGCUUUGUACCGUUGCCACUUUGAUUCUCUCUGUGACAAGCUGCAGAGCCACAGAAGCAGCCUGGCAGCACUCGAGCUCCAAGUGCAGCAGAAGUAGGGAGCCUUGGAGGAGCCAGUCACAGCUCUCGGUCACUGGCCAGCCCAUUGCUUGUAGAAGUUAGCAUGCUUAAAUUGACAUUGAUCCCUCAAGGGACUAGCUACCAGCUAAACAAAACUGGAGCACAGGGCUAGCCAAGCAUAGAUUCUCUGUGACCCUGUGUCAGGACCUGUCAUCCUGUUGUAAAAGCCAGCUAUGUUACCUCCUUGCCCUCUGAGACUCCCAGGGAAUCCCCAAGUAAAUGAAGAGGGGACUUAUUUACAUCUCCUUCAUGUCUCCAGCAAGUCUUUUUUUUUCUUUUUUCUUUUUUUCUUUUUUUAUUCCUUAAGAACAAAAAAACCCAAAACCAACCAAAAACCCAAGAGAUAAUGGAGUACUUUAAAAAGGCAUAUUUGUUCCCUUAUGAAGGCUUACUACAACAAAGCAAGAAUAAUUUGCUCUAUUAAUUAUAGAUUAUGGAAAAUGUGGAAGUAUCUCUGUGGUUAAAGAAGUGAGCAUACUGUCAUUGAUGGUAUCAUAACUGUUGUAUACAGCUGGGAAAGGCAGACACAUUGUAAUAUUACUGGUAGUUUAGAAUAUUUAGAAGCUAGGAGUUCUAUUAAGUCUAUUAAAUAUGCUGAGGGUAGAAACGCUCAUUUGCUUUUGCAGAGGAAAUAGAGCAAAGAUACACCGCAGCAGAGAAAGCUAGCAGGACAAAGGAGAUACUAUUGACUCAUUCCAGACUGCCGACUUAGCAGCUCAACUUUGUUUCCUUUUAACUUUUGUAACAGUAGGAGCUCAAAGCUUCUCAGUCUAUUUUCUGCACAAAUAGAAACACCCAGACUUCAAAAAGUAAUAUGCUUUGAAGAAACCCAAAGCAUUAACACAUUAAAAACUGUGUGUACUAUUAAACAGGGAUUCGUGGUUACUUGAAUUUUGCAGCAAGUAGAUGCUGGUGUUUUGGUGGUAAUUUUUACACUGCUGCAUUCCGGCAGACAAUUCUUGACAAAUAUCAAUUUGUAAAAGCACUUUUUGUUGGUUUUAGUGUGACACAGUUUUAUUGACUUUGCAGUGGGUAAGUACUGCUUCAAUAUUUUCACAGGCUGAGUAAACCCCACAGACGCUUUUCCCCAGCCCAAUGGCAUAUUGCAACAAGUUGCUAACCUUAUAACAUUACACUUGUAACGCUGGGGAAAGCAUACGAUGUGUGAAAUUUAAAUUUUGUCCUCGCCACUUAAGUCU